Amphimedon queenslandica is the source of this 353-nucleotide long non-coding RNA. RefSeq lists it as uncharacterized. The transcript is spliced from 4 exons. The record is from RefSeq and is a predicted model, not a curated record. NCBI's taxonomy places the organism in Eukaryota, Metazoa, Porifera, Demospongiae, Haplosclerida, Niphatidae.
AUUCAAUAAAGGUGCAACACAGAGUAUCAUUAGCUGAUGUGAGUCACAUUAGUGCUAGUCUCCUACCUGAUAACUUCUUCAUUAUACAUGUACCUGCUGAUCAGGACAGGCUCUUCAUUAGCACGAGGAAAACUGAGAUAGUGACGUCACUAAGGAUUGCUUACUUUGACAUGACAAAACAAGAAUUGAAUAUAUCACUACAGAACAGUAUUGAUUAUAAAGUUGAUAGAGAUCAAGUGAGAUGAGUUGAAUUCACUCAAGGAGACAAUGGUGUAUAUACAAGAUUGUUUGCAAGGAAAAUAAAGAAUUAAUAAUAACAUUAUAAUGACAGUAAAUACACUGUGUGAGACUGU